RNAcentral lists this long non-coding RNA (459 nucleotides) under Homo sapiens (human). RNAcentral's name for it is "HSALNT0053698". Lineage: Eukaryota; Metazoa; Chordata; Mammalia; Primates; Hominidae. The record is from RNAcentral.
AUAGUCCCUGUAAAUCUUGCCACACCCUUCAAGUAUCAUCCACUAUGCAGCCACCUUGCUGGACAAAGGGUGCCCUCUGAGAUCCUGAGAAAAGGCCACAAUGACUUCUGGCUGGCAACUCCAUCAUGCCUUUUAUUCAAAGGCUGCAGUGGCUAAUACAAAGAGAGGCCAGCAGGGUAGUAAACAAUCCCUAAAUUGAGAGCCUGGGAACUCAGAGAGCCUGACCAGCAUCUUGCCCUAAGCAGUCCUGCCCUGUGCUCCAACCUAAUGGGAUCUCUGAAUUCUCCUUGGGCUUUCCAGGCAGCAGAGGAACUUGGCAGGCAGUCUGUAGGGAACCCCAGAGAGAGCUGGCUUCCCCUUCUGCCACAUAAGAACCCAGUGAGAAGGCAGCCAUCUCUGAGGAAAGCCAGCCUUCACCAGACAAUGAAUCUGCCAGCACCUUGAUCUUGGACUUACCAG